This 222-nucleotide ribosomal RNA is filed under the name uncultured bacterium. RNAcentral's name for it is "partial 16S ribosomal RNA". It matches the Rfam family "Bacterial small subunit ribosomal RNA", at positions 109 to 334 of the family's 1533-position model. The record is from RNAcentral.
AGUAAUGCUUGGGAAUCUGGCUUAUGGAGGGGGAUAACUACGGGAAACUGUAGCUAAUACCGCGUAGUGUCGAGAGACGAAAGUGCGGGACCGAGAGGCCGCAUGCCAUGAGAUGAGCCCAAGUGGGAUUAGGUAGUUGGUGGGGUAAAGGCCUACCAAGCCUGCGAUCUCUAGCUGGUCUGAGAGGAUGGCCAGCCACACUGGAACUGAGACACGGUCCAG